UGGGGAAUAUUGCACAAUGGACGGAAGUCUGAUGCAGCAACGCCGCGUGCGGGAUGACGGCCUUCGGGUUGUAAACCGCUUUUUCUCAUGACGAAGUUUUUUGACGGUAGUGGGGGAAGAAGCACCGGCUAACUACGUGCCAGCAGCCGCGGUGAUACGUAGGGUGCGAGCGUUGUCCGGAAUUAUUGGGCGUAAAGAGCUUGUAGGCGGUUUGUCGCGUCGAUAGUGCAAACUCAGUGCUUAACGCUGAGCCUGCUGUUGAUACGGGCAGACUAGAGGAAGGUAGGGGAGAAUGGAAUUCCCGGUGGAGCGGUGGAAUGCGCAGAUAUCGGGAGGAACACCGGUGGCGAAGGCGGUUCUCUGAGCCUUUCCUGACGCUGAGAAGCGAAAGCGUGGGGAGCGAACAGG
Molecule: ribosomal RNA, 408 nt
Filed under: Fusobacteriota bacterium
Lineage: Bacteria; Fusobacteriati; Fusobacteriota
Description: Fusobacteria bacterium partial 16S ribosomal RNA
Rfam family: Bacterial small subunit ribosomal RNA
Source: RNAcentral